RNAcentral lists this ribosomal RNA (497 nucleotides) under uncultured bacterium. RNAcentral describes it as "partial 16S ribosomal RNA". It matches the Rfam family "Bacterial small subunit ribosomal RNA", at positions 28 to 507 of the family's 1533-position model. The record is from RNAcentral.
GAUGAACGCUGGCGGCGUGCCUAAUACAUGCGAGUCGAGCGAACAGACGAGGAGCUUGCUCCUCUGACGUUAGCGGCGGACGGGUGAGUAACACGUGGAUAACCUACCCAUAAGACUGGGAUAACUUCGGGAAACCGGAGCUAAUACCGGAUAAUAUAUUGAACCGCAUGGUUCAAUAGUGAAAGACGGUUUUGCUGUCACUUAUAGAUGGAUCCGCGCCGCAUUAGCUAGUUGGUAAGGUAACGGCUUACCAAGGCAACGAUGCGUAGCCGACCUGAGAGGGUGAUCGGCCACACUGGAACUGAGACACGGUCCAGACUCCUACGGGAGGCAGCAGUAGGGAAUCUUCCGCAAUGGGCGAAAGCUUGACGGAGCAACGCCGCGUGAGUGAUGAAGGUCUUCGGAUCGUAAAACUCUGUUAUUAGGGAAGAACAAAUGUGUAAGUAACUAUGCACGUCUUGACGGUACCUAAUCAGAAAGCCACGGCUAACUACGUG